This 307-nucleotide unclassified non-coding RNA is filed under the name Rhodotorula toruloides. The record is from RNAcentral. Lineage: Eukaryota; Fungi; Basidiomycota; Microbotryomycetes; Sporidiobolales; Sporidiobolaceae.
CUUCCUCAACACACGCUCCGGGCUGAGACCGUUGCACUGCUAGCAGGCUAUCCCCUAGGCUUGUCGGACUUCCUGAACCCGCCCACGACCGCCCCGCAGCUCUGCUGCCUCUCAUCUGUCCUCCUCGAUGGCCUUCCUUCCCGCAAGUCGUGGUCAGUGCAUAGGCGGCGAGUUCGAUGCUCAGGGAGUUGGAACGACCCAUGGUUGCGUGUGAGUACGGUCAAGAAGCGGCGCGCGGCGCUAUGCGUAUGGAGUUGAACGUUGGCUCCGAGCGAAGGUGCGCUGCACUCGACUGGAGAAAGCUUCG